UAUACUAAAUACAUAUUUAGUUAUUAAGUAUUUAUUAUAAGACGUUUUGAAAUAAGAAUUAUCUAAAUAUUAUAUAAAUUCGAAAUUAUAUAAAUAAAAAGAAAUAUAUAUAAAUAUAUAUAUAAUUAUAUAUAAUGCGGAUAUGGUCGAAUGGUAAAAUUUCUCUUUGCCAAGGAGAAGAUGCGGGUUCGAUUCCCGCUAUCCGCCCAGGAUAAUGGGUAAAUAUAUGAAAUUCAAUCUAUUUUAUUUAUAUUUAAUAGAUAAAGCAUUAAUUAAGUUUAAGUAUAGUUAAGUAUAUAAGUAUAGUUGACCG
Molecule: transfer RNA, 313 nt
Filed under: Rosa chinensis
Lineage: Eukaryota; Viridiplantae; Streptophyta; Magnoliopsida; Rosales; Rosaceae
Description: sRNA RchiOBHm_CPg0502291
Rfam family: tRNA (bases 137-207)
Source: RNAcentral